This 460-nucleotide ribosomal RNA is filed under the name uncultured bacterium. Its description in RNAcentral is "partial 16S ribosomal RNA". It matches the Rfam family "Bacterial small subunit ribosomal RNA", at positions 338 to 795 of the family's 1533-position model. The record is from RNAcentral.
CCUACGGGGGACAGCAGUGAGGAAUAUUGGUCAAUGGGCGGGAGCCUGAACCAGCCAAGUCGCGUGAGGGAAGACGGUCCUAUGGAUUGUAAACCUCUUUAGGCGGGGAGCAAUGCCGGGCACGCGUGCCCGGUGGGAGAGUACCCGCAGAAUAAGCAUCGGCUAACCCCGUGCCGGCAGCCGCGGUAAUCCGGAGGAUGCGAGCGUUAUCCGGAUUUAUUGGGUUUAAAGGGUGCGUAGGCGGAAUGCCAAGUCGGCGGUAAAAUCGCGGGGCUCAACCUCGCUCCGCCGUUGAAACUGGCGGUCUUGAGUGGGCGAGAGGUAUGCGGAAUGCGUGGUGUAGCGGUGAAAUGCAUAGAUAUCACGCAGAACUCCGAUUGCGAAGGCAGCAUACCGGCGCCCAACUGACGCUGAAGCACGAAAGCGUGGGUAUCGAACAGGAUUAGAUACCCGGGUAGUC